RNAcentral lists this ribosomal RNA (580 nucleotides) under Bacillus altitudinis. Its description in RNAcentral is "bacterial SSU rRNA". It matches the Rfam family "Bacterial small subunit ribosomal RNA", at positions 186 to 752 of the family's 1533-position model. Lineage: Bacteria; Bacillati; Bacillota; Bacilli; Caryophanales; Bacillaceae. The record is from RNAcentral.
CCGCAUGGUUCAAGGAUGAAAGACGGUUUCGGCUGUCACUUACAGAUGGACCCGCGGCGCAUUAGCUAGUUGGUGAGGUAACGGCUCACCAAGGCGACGAUGCGUAGCCGACCUGAGAGGGUGAUCGGCCACACUGGGACUGAGACACGGCCCAGACUCCUACGGGAGGCAGCAGUAGGGAAUCUUCCGCAAUGGACGAAAGUCUGACGGAGCAACGCCGCGUGAGUGAUGAAGGUUUUCGGAUCGUAAAGCUCUGUUGUUAGGGAAGAACAAGUGCAAGAGUAACUGCUUGCACCUUGACGGUACCUAACCAGAAAGCCACGGCUAACUACGUGCCAGCAGCCGCGGUAAUACGUAGGUGGCAAGCGUUGUCCGGAAUUAUUGGGCGUAAAGGGCUCGCAGGCGGUUUCUUAAGUCUGAUGUGAAAGCCCCCGGCUCAACCGGGGAGGGUCAUUGGAAACUGGGAAACUUGAGUGCAGAAGAGGAGAGUGGAAUUCCACGUGUAGCGGUGAAAUGCGUAGAGAUGUGGAGGAACACCAGUGGCGAAGGCGACUCUCUGGUCUGUAACUGACGCUGAGGA